Long non-coding RNA from Lemur catta (Ring-tailed lemur), 875 nucleotides. RefSeq lists it as uncharacterized. NCBI's taxonomy places the organism in Eukaryota, Metazoa, Chordata, Mammalia, Primates, Lemuridae. The record is from RefSeq and is a predicted model, not a curated record. The transcript has 3 exons.
UGCUUGCCACGGACGAGCGACCCUCAGAGCUAAGCAGCCACCCUUCCCUUCCCCACCCCGGGCCCCGCCGGGCGAGUCUCCCAGCCCGGGGCGCGGGGCGGGGGCGGCCCUGGAUUAUGCGGGACAGCAGCGCGUUCCCGGGGCCUCCGCCCGCAGCCGGCGGCGGGACCCGGGCGGGCGGCCGAGACCGUGAGCCAUUUGCAUUCCCCGGCAGUCAUUUUUAUAUGCGGAGGCCAGUACGACGUUUUAUCCUGGAAGGCACUUCUGAAGUAUGAUAGUGAAUUUCCCCAACAAUUUCUCUGCACAGCUUUACACUGAGAACCCAGCACUGGGGACGGUGAUAAAUGCAGCAAAGUGAGGAAGUCAAACUACAAAGUACACCAGAAAUAUCUCCAAGAGCGCCAGCACCCCGAGCUAUCUGGACCCGAAGUGGAUCUGCUCAGAGGUAUCCUGGCUCACCCUCAACAUCCACCCCGAGGACAACGCUGCUGCACUCAGCCGACUCUGGCUUUAACUGAGCAGGCCGUCCACACCGCAAGCCUGAAAGCUUGGCAGGGCUGAGAAAGGCAGUCUUCUCAGCUGAAGGCUUCUGCUCUUGUAGCAGGAAGAGCAAAUUUAAGAACAAGAAUGCCAGAGUUGGAUUACCCUUGAGAUUUAAUGACCAGAACUAAGAUUUCUGAGACCAGAGUGACUAUUGAGGGCUUUUGUCACGUUGCUUGAAGUUGAGUGCCUCUCAGUUCCAGGAGGCCACUGAAGUGAAACUGCAGGCUGGUCCGGCGGCCUGUCUACCUGCUCCACACCCCUGCCUCUCGCCUGCCUCUGCUCAAACACGAUCUUGCCUUGGCAGCACUGCAAGGCGGAAUAAAAACAUACAC